GGGUUCAUAGUCUAGCCUGGUUAGGACGGCGCGUUGACGUCGCGUAAACCCUGGUUCAAAUCCGGGUGGACCCA
Molecule: transfer RNA, 74 nt
Filed under: archaeon
Lineage: Archaea
Description: tRNA-Val
Rfam family: tRNA
About the family: Transfer RNA (tRNA) molecules are approximately 80 nucleotides in length. Their secondary structure includes four short double-helical elements and three loops (D, anti-codon, and T loops).
Source: RNAcentral